UGGGUAAUUUUGCACAAUGGGGGAAACCCUGAUGCAGCGACGCCGCGUGAUUUAGAUGGCCUUCGGGUUGUAAAAAUCUUUUCUAUGGGAAGAAAAUGACAGUACCAUAGGAAUAAGGACCGGCUAAUUACGUGCCAGCAGCCGCGGUAAUACGUAAGGUCCGAGCGUUGUCCGGAAUCAUUGGGCGUAAAGGGUACGUAGGCGGGUAAGCAAGUUAGAAGUGAAAUCCUAUAGCUCAACUAUAGUAAGCUUUUAAAACUGCUCAUCUUGAGGUAUGGAAGGGAAAGUGGAAUUCCUAGUGUAGCGGUGAAAUGCGCAGAUAUUAGGAGGAAUACCGGUGGCGAAGGCGACUUUCUGGCCAUAACCUGACGCUGAGGUACGAAAGCGUGGGUAGCAAACAGG
Molecule: ribosomal RNA, 402 nt
Filed under: bacterium
Lineage: Bacteria
Description: partial 16S ribosomal RNA
Rfam family: Bacterial small subunit ribosomal RNA
Source: RNAcentral